Molecule: ribosomal RNA, 497 nt
Filed under: uncultured bacterium
Lineage: Bacteria
Description: partial 16S ribosomal RNA
Rfam family: Bacterial small subunit ribosomal RNA
Source: RNAcentral
GAUGAACGCUGGCGGCGUGCCUAAUACAUGCCAGUCGAGCGAACGGACGAGAAGCUUGCUUUUCUGAUGUUAGCGGCGGACGGGUGAGUAACACGUGGAUAACCUACCUAUAAGACUGGGAUAACUUCGGGAAACCGGAGCUAAUACCGGAUGAUAUUUUGAACCGCAUGGUUCAAAAGUGAAAGACGGUCUUGCUGUCACUUAUAGAUGGAUCCGCGCUGCAUUAGCUAGUUGGUAAGGUAACGGCUUACCAAGGCAACGAUGCAUAGCCGACCUGAGAGGGUGAUCGGCCACACUGGAACUGAGACACGGUCCAGACUCCUACGGGAGGCAGCAGUAGGGAAUCUUCCGCAAUGGGCGAAAGCCUGACGGAGCAACGCCGCGUGAGUGAUGAAGGUCUUCGGAUCGUAAAACUCUGUUAUUAGGGAAGAACAUAUGUGUAAGUAACUGUGCACAUCUUGACGGUACCUAAUCAGAAAGCCACGGCUAACUACGUG